AUUGAACGCUGGCGGCAUGCUUUACACAUGCAAGUCGAACGGCAGCGGGGGCUUCGGCCUGCCGGCGAGUGGCGAACGGGUGAGUAAUGCAUCGGAACGUGCCCAUGUCGUGGGGGAUAACGUAGCGAAAGCUACGCUAAUACCGCAUACGUCCUGAGGGAGAAAGCGGGGGAUCUUUGGACCUCGCGCGAUUGGAGCGGCCGAUGUCGGAUUAGCUAGUAGGUGAGGUAAAGGCUCACCUAGGCGACGAUCCGUAGCGGGUCUGAGAGGAUGAUCCGCCACACUGGGACUGAGACACGGCCCAGACUCCUACGGGAGGCAGCAGUGGGGGAAUUUUGGACAAUGGGGGCAACCCUGAUCCAGCCAUGCCGCGUGAGUGAAGAAGGCCUCGG
Molecule: ribosomal RNA, 392 nt
Filed under: uncultured bacterium
Lineage: Bacteria
Description: bacterial SSU rRNA
Rfam family: Bacterial small subunit ribosomal RNA
Source: RNAcentral